This is a long non-coding RNA of Oncorhynchus tshawytscha (Chinook salmon), 274 nucleotides long. Lineage: Eukaryota; Metazoa; Chordata; Actinopteri; Salmoniformes; Salmonidae. The record is from Ensembl.
AGGAGAACCCCGACUAAAGCACCCGAGGGAAGAGACAGGUGAGGGAGCAGAGGAGAGGAGAACCCUGACUAAAACACCCGAGGGAAGAGACAGGUGAGGGAGCAGAGGAGAACCCUGACUAAAACACCAGAGGGAAGAGAGGUGAGGGAGCAGAGGAGAACCCCGACUAAAACACCCGAGGGAGACAGAGAGAGAGACAGAGAGAGAGAGACAGACAGAGAGAGAGAGACAGAGAGAGAGUGCGCGGGCACUAGAAAAUUCUGCAGCACCCGGC